GUGAGAAUGAUUUCUGAUGGAAAGGGAGCUGGUGAGUGGAGACUAAGACUCAAAGCAGGGAGAAUGAUGUAACCGCUGAGCUGAGGAAGCUCAACCUUGAAGUAUGAGGUCUGUUUACAGACCUGAAGCCAAUAAGAAGCAUCGGGGAGACUCGAACCUGGCACGUUGAUCUCUAAAGUGUACAGCUGCACUCUUCACGGACUACAAUCUAUCUGCCCCUUGAAAUUGUACCUGUGAUUUUUAUGACUGUCUUAAAGACAUCGGUGAUUUAUAUCUUAUUCAAAUAUAAGUUAACCUUUGUGUUUCUUAACUGAGUGUUAUGAAAUAUAAAAAAAAUGUUUUUUACUGUGAAAAUUUACUCUCUAACUUACCUGAUUGUAAAUUUAGAUUUGGGCAUAUCAAGUCUUUCAUUAUUUAAUGGAAAGGAAAGUGCAUGUAUGACUUCAAAUAAAUAAUGUAGAGCAUUACUAGAAGUGAAAUAGAACUUUGCCUUCUAAACAGUCACACCUUUCUUUGCUUGCCUAUUGUAUUAGGAGGCAUUUGAUGCAGGACAGAGAGACCACUCUAUGUAUCUUCAGUGGGGACAGAUUUAAAGCAGGGAAUUUAGUGCUUAUAAAAUCAGUGAAAAGGUUCAAGCAAUGGUUUCUAGGGUUGGCCUCCUGGAAUGACUUCAA
Molecule: long non-coding RNA, 674 nt
Organism: Phyllostomus hastatus (greater spear-nosed bat)
Lineage: Eukaryota; Metazoa; Chordata; Mammalia; Chiroptera; Phyllostomidae
Exons: 3
Source: RefSeq, a predicted model, not a curated record